GACCUGAUGGUGCAGUGGUUAGCACGCUUGCAUAUUAUUUGUAUAAUUUACUGCAUGGAAAUCUAAGCAAGAGGCUCCUGUUCGAAUCAGGAUCGGAUCG
Mycena crocata is the source of this 100-nucleotide non-coding RNA. The record is from the annotation of a GenBank genome assembly. NCBI's taxonomy places the organism in Eukaryota, Fungi, Basidiomycota, Agaricomycetes, Agaricales, Mycenaceae.